RNAcentral lists this ribosomal RNA (261 nucleotides) under uncultured archaeon. Its description in RNAcentral is "partial 16S ribosomal RNA". It matches the Rfam family "Archaeal small subunit ribosomal RNA", at positions 748 to 1009 of the family's 1478-position model. The record is from RNAcentral.
CAGCCGUAAACUAUGCGCGUUAGGUGUAUCGGUGACCACGAGUUACCGAGGUGCCGAAGGGAAACCGUGAAACGUGCCGCCUGGGAAGUACGGUCGCAAGGCUGAAACUUAAAGGAAUUGGCGGGGGAGCACCACAACAGGUGGAGCCUGCGGUUUAAUUGGACUCAACGCCGGACAACUCACCGGGAAUGACAGCAAUAUGUAGGCCAGGCUGAAGACCUUGCCUGAAUCGCUGAGAGGAGGUGCAUGGCGUAGACGUCU